RNAcentral lists this long non-coding RNA (348 nucleotides) under Prunus persica (peach). RNAcentral describes it as "long non-coding RNA (PPER_LNC007933)". The record is from RNAcentral. Lineage: Eukaryota; Viridiplantae; Streptophyta; Magnoliopsida; Rosales; Rosaceae.
AGAAACCAUACCUCAGGUGUCGGAUUUGGUCGCUGGAGGAGAGAGAACGACGGCAUCGCAAAUUCAGUGAAAACUGAGGAAAUUAUGGUGGCUGGCUCGACGGUGACAGCGGGGAAGCUCUGAGGUACCAAGGUUGUGGCGGCGCGAUCCAAAUUUCACUGGGGUAGGGGGCUAAGGUGAUAGCGGAGAGAGAGAGAGAGAGAGUUAGGGCAAAAAUCAGAAUCUGGGGAAGAAUGAGGCCAUUGCGUCGUUUUCGAAAUUUUAUUCGAUUUUGCGCGACGAAGAAAUAAAAGCGUCGCACAAAAUAUUUUAAAUGAUUCUUGCGCGACGACAAAAGUUUAACUUCGG